Molecule: non-coding RNA, 508 nt
Organism: Cinara cedri
Lineage: Eukaryota; Metazoa; Arthropoda; Insecta; Hemiptera; Aphididae
Source: the annotation of a GenBank genome assembly
UUUUACAUAUACACAGAUGUUCAACAAUCUAUUAUAAUAUAGGUAGAUACAGUGUUUUGUUCAUAAAAUAACCAUGAAUCAAUAUUCAAUAUUAUUUUCCAUAAUAUAUUCCAUAAUAUUCCAUAUAAUUAUACAAGUAAAAUGUGUAUCGGGAGGAUUUGACAAUUUAACAUUGAAAAAAUGGUACUUAAUUUCCCGUGGACGUGGAUUUUCUAUACAUUUUUUUGCUUUUUCUGCUUUUUUUUGAACAUCCGUGUAUACAUAUAAAUAUCAUCAAUUAUAAAUUAAUUCAAUAAAACAUUUUAGAUAUAAUGUGUACAUUCGUAAUAUAAAUAUUAUUAUAAUAUGUCAUAAUAAAAGCUAGAUGACUUAAAACAUAAGACUAGAUAAUCGUAUUAUUGUACAUAUUAAUACUAAAAAACAAUAAAGCUACAGAAUACAGGUAAAAUUGUAAUGUUUAAGUUGUUAAUUGGUUAAUGUAUUCACACGUAAGACAUUUAUAUAUAAA